GAUGAACGCUGGCGGCGUGCCUAAUACAUGCAAGUCGAGCGAACAGAUGAGGAGCUUGCUCCUCUGACGUUAGCGGCGGACGGGUGAGUAACACGUGGAUAACCUACCUAUAAGACUGGGAUAACUUCGGGAAACCGGAGCAAAUACCGGAUAAUAUAUUGAACCGCAUGGUUCAAUAGUGAAAGACGGUUUUGCUGUCACUUAUAGAUGGAUCCGCGCCGCAUUAGCUAGUUGGUAAGGUAACGGCUUACCAAGGCAACGAUGCGUAGCCGACCUGAGAGGGUGAUCGGCCACCCUGGAACUGAGACACGCUCCAGACUCCUACGGGAGGCAGCAGUAGGGAAUCUUCCGCAAUGGGCGAAAGCCUGACGGAGCAACGCCGCGUGAGUGAUGAAGGUCUUCGGAUCGUAAAACUCUGUUAUUAGGGAAGAACAAAUGUGUAAGUAACUAUGCACGUCUUGACGGUACCUAAUCAGAAAGCCACGGCUAACUACGUG
Molecule: ribosomal RNA, 497 nt
Filed under: uncultured bacterium
Lineage: Bacteria
Description: partial 16S ribosomal RNA
Rfam family: Bacterial small subunit ribosomal RNA
Source: RNAcentral